RNAcentral lists this ribosomal RNA (253 nucleotides) under uncultured bacterium. RNAcentral describes it as "partial 16S ribosomal RNA". It matches the Rfam family "Bacterial small subunit ribosomal RNA", at positions 524 to 776 of the family's 1533-position model. The record is from RNAcentral.
UACGUAGGGUGCGAGCGUUGUCCGGAAUUAUUGGGCGUAAAGAGCUCGUAGGCGGCUUGUCGCGUCGGUUGUGAAAGCCCGGGGCUUAACCCCGGGUCUGCAUUCGAUACGGGCAGGCUUGAGUGUGGUAGGGGAGAUCGGAAUUCCUGGUGUAGCGGUGAAAUGCGCAGAUAUCAGGAGGAACACCGGUGGCGAAGGCGGAUCUCUGGGCCAUUACUGACGCUGAGGAGCGAAAGCGUGGGGAGCGAACAGG